This 543-nucleotide ribosomal RNA is filed under the name uncultured bacterium. Its description in RNAcentral is "partial 16S ribosomal RNA". It matches the Rfam family "Bacterial small subunit ribosomal RNA", at positions 355 to 887 of the family's 1533-position model. The record is from RNAcentral.
UGGGGAAUUUUGGACAAUGGGGGAAACCCUGAUCCAGCCAUCCCGCGUGUGCGAUGAAGGCCUUCGGGUUGUAAAGCACUUUUGGCAGGAAAGAAACGUCGCGGGUUAAUACCCCGCGAAACUGACGGUACCUGCAGAAUAAGCACCGGCUAACUACGUGCCAGCAGCCGCGGUAAUACGUAGGGUGCAAGCGUUAAUCGGAAUUACUGGGCGUAAAGCGUGCGCAGGCGGUUCGGAAAGAAAGAUGUGAAAUCCCAGAGCUUAACUUUGGAACUGCAUUUUUAACUACCGGGCUAGAGUGUGUCAGAGGGAGGUGGAAUUCCGCGUGUAGCAGUGAAAUGCGUAGAUAUGCGGAGGAACACCGAUGGCGAAGGCAGCCUCCUGGGAUAACACUGACGCUCAUGCACGAAAAGCGUGGGGAGCAAAACAGGAUUAGAUACCCUGGUAGUCCACGCCCUAAAACGAUGUCAACUAGCUGUUGGGGGCCUUCGGGCCUUGGUAGCGCAGCUAACGCGUGAAGUUGACCGCCUGGGGAGUACGGUC